This 1157-nucleotide long non-coding RNA is filed under the name Callithrix jacchus (white-tufted-ear marmoset). RNAcentral describes it as "lncRNA (ENSCJAG00000087003.1)". The record is from RNAcentral. Lineage: Eukaryota; Metazoa; Chordata; Mammalia; Primates; Cebidae.
UGAAAAAAGAGUAAUCGAAUACCACUGUCUGCCGAGGACGGUGCUAAGUGCGUUAGUUUACUGCAAACAUGAAUUAUUCCUGUCUACAGGGAACUUACUACUAAUGGAGAAUGCCAGCAUUGAUAAAGUGCAUAAUAUUUGAAAAAUCCUUUUCUAUAUUCACGAUCUAACUUAAAUCUCAUCACACAACCUUUGAAGUAAUAAGUAUUCCAAGGCCUUUCAAAAUUAGGUUUCUCCUCUUCCUUCACUUAGUUGUCCUUUUUUUUUUGUUUUUUUUGAGACGGAGUUUCACUCUUGUUACCCAGGCUGGAGUGCAAUGGCGCGAUCUCGGCUCACCGCAACCUCCGCCUCCCGGGUUCAGGCAAUUCUCCUGCCUCAGCCUCAUGAGUAGCUGGGAUUACAGGCACACACCACCAUGCCCAGCUAAUUUUUUGUAUUUUUAGUAGAGACGGGUUUUCACCAUGUUGACCAGGAUGGUCUCGAUCUCUUGACCUCGUGAUCCACCCGCCUCGGCCUCCCAAAGUGCUGGGAUUACAGGCGUGAGCCACCGCAUCCGGCUGUCCUUUAAUUCUUUUGGUAGCAAUGAGACAGACAUUUUAAACCCAAGGAACAAAGACAAGUCAAAAGUCUAUGUGCCUUAUUCUCCAGCAGCGUCCAGGGAGUCCAGCGUGCUUCCAGCCCUUCAAUGACAGUCACCUGAACAAACGUGCCCAGGACGCCGGCGGACAGGUGGAGGGUCACUGUGUAGUAGUCUCCAUAACACUGAACCCAGCGUGCUAGAAGUUCUUUCCAGUAGACUGAAAGUUCCUUGGGUACAGGGAGUUUGCAACUCACUCUUCCAUCCUCAGUGCCUGGCACAUAGUGGGUGUAUACUAUUUUUCGAAUAGUAUACAAUGUCAAUAAACUGUAAUUCACUAAUUUGUUAGGCUAUUGUCUGUUUCUGAGUCCCUUAAAGGCAGGGAUUUUUGUCUGUUUUGUUCACUCAUGUACUCUGAGAACCUUAAAAAAAAAAAAGCCUUAUGAUUAGAGAGCUCUUUAUGAACUUCUGUUGGAGGAAUGAAUGGGAAAGAUGAUCACAAUGGGAACCUAACUUAUCGCCACUCCAGGAUCAUGUUUUGAAACAUUGUACGGUUUGAAGCUCUUAAAAAGUGCUGCAC